This 641-nucleotide ribosomal RNA is filed under the name Bacillus thuringiensis. Its description in RNAcentral is "bacterial SSU rRNA". It matches the Rfam family "Bacterial small subunit ribosomal RNA", at positions 134 to 760 of the family's 1533-position model. The record is from RNAcentral. Lineage: Bacteria; Bacillati; Bacillota; Bacilli; Caryophanales; Bacillaceae.
AACACUGGGAUAACUCCGGGAAACCGGGGCUAAUACCGGAUAACAUUUUGAACCGCAUGGUUCGAAAUUGAAAGGCGGCUUCGGCUGUCACUUAUGGAUGGACCCGCGUCGCAUUAGCUAGUUGGUGAGGUAACGGCUCACCAAGGCAACGAUGCGUAGCCAACCUGAGAGGGUGAUCGGCCACACUGGGACUGAGACACGGCCCAGACUCCUACGGGAGGCAGCAGUAGGGAAUCUUCCGCAAUGGACGAAAGUCUGACGGAGCAACGCCGCGUGAGUGAUGAAGGCUUUCGGGUCGUAUAACUCUGUUGUUAGGGAAGAACAAGUGCUAGUUGAAUAAGCUGGCACCUUGACGGUACCUAACCAGAAAGCCACGGCUAACUACGUGCCAGCAGCCGCGGUAAUACGUAGGUGGCAAGCGUUAUCCGGAAUUAUUGGGCGUAAAGCGCGCGCAGGUGGUUUCUUAAGUCUGAUGUGAAAGCCCACGGCUCAACCGUGUAGGGACAUUGGAAACUGGGAGACUUGAGUGCAGAAGAGGAAAGUGGAAUUCCAUGUGUAGCGGUGAAAUGCGUAGAGAUAUGGAGGAACACCAGUGGCGAAGGCGACUUUCUGGUCUGUAACUGACACUGAGGCGCGAAAGC